Long non-coding RNA from Nerophis lumbriciformis (worm pipefish), 833 nucleotides. RefSeq lists it as uncharacterized. The record is from RefSeq and is a predicted model, not a curated record. NCBI's taxonomy places the organism in Eukaryota, Metazoa, Chordata, Actinopteri, Syngnathiformes, Syngnathidae.
CACCAUUCAGGUAGGAACCUUUGACACGGAAGCUUUUGUGUCAGGAUCGUUCUGACUGGGGGGGAACUUCCGGCCAAUCUGGACGAAAAGCUGACAUGCUGUAUCUUCAGGUGUCGCUUCACGUCCCACUUGCGUACUGCCGAUUAUCAAGUCCGUGAAAAAAAACACUCAACUCUCGAGUCAACAGGAAAAUCCCAUUGAGAUGAAGAAUCUCCUGUGACAAACAUUCAGUAUCUUGCCCAAGGACAAGGAUGGCAAAAGCUGGAUUGGUACCUGGAUCCCUCCAGUUCUGGGAACAUUUCGGAGGAACCUCCGAGCCAAGCUGGCCUAAUGGUACUUUCUCAACCCUGAAGGAAAUUCUAACAAACAAGCAUCAUUGUCAGGAUUUCAUUGCUAGUCGUGCUGCAUUUCCAGACUGCAGGCUGGGAGGAAAUAUUCCUCUCUGAGCUUUCGAGGUUUGACCUCAAAGCAAUCAAUUGGAAAGUCAACAAAAAAAGAAAAACAAGCUCUCGAUAAAUCUGUCGCCUCGCAUCAGAGGUGCAUUUAGGUCGAGAUGCUGAAAAGUAUGCAGACAACAAACUUAACUAUUUUUUCUGGCUUUUUGACUUUCUUCUACUUUUCAUACACAGUUACUUUUAGAGGUUACAAAGCUGGCCGCACAGUGGACUAGUGCACUGCUGUCAAACUCUAAGCCCGGGGGCCAGAUCUGGCCCGCCACGUCAUUUAGGUGGCCCACCAUGUCAUUCAAUGUGGUCUGCCACAUCAUUUAAGGUGGUCCGUCACCUCAUUAAUGUGGCCUGCCAUGUCAUUUGAGGUGGUCUGUCAUGUCAUUU